GACAGAGGCCUCAAGCGUUAGGCGGAAUCACUGGGCUUAAAGCGUGUGUAGGCGGCUCGUUAAGUACCUUGUGAAAUCCCACGGCUCACCCGUGGAACUGCUGGGUAUACUGGCGGUCUUGGGCCAACUAGGGGCAGCUGGAACAAGCGGUGGAGCGGUGAAAUGCGUAGAUAUCGCUUGGAACGCCGAAGGUGAAAACAGGCUGCUGGGGUUGUGCCGACGCUGAGACACGAAAGCCAGGGGAGCAAACGGG
This 253-nucleotide ribosomal RNA is filed under the name uncultured bacterium. Its description in RNAcentral is "partial 16S ribosomal RNA". It matches the Rfam family "Bacterial small subunit ribosomal RNA", at positions 524 to 776 of the family's 1533-position model. The record is from RNAcentral.